RNAcentral lists this signal recognition particle RNA (266 nucleotides) under Paenibacillus larvae. Its description in RNAcentral is "signal recognition particle sRNA large type". It matches the Rfam family "Bacterial large signal recognition particle RNA". From Rfam's summary of the family: The signal recognition particle (SRP) is a universally conserved ribonucleoprotein involved in the co-translational targeting of proteins to membranes. Archaeal SRP consists of a 7S RNA and homologues of the eukaryotic SRP19 and SRP54 proteins. The record is from RNAcentral. Lineage: Bacteria; Bacillati; Bacillota; Bacilli; Caryophanales; Paenibacillaceae. RNAcentral also lists the same sequence under 3 other names.
CCGUGCUAGACGGGGAGGUAGCGGUGCCCUGUAACUCGCAAUCCGCUGUAGCGGGGUUGAACUCCUGCCUAGCGGUGCAGUCAGUGUAAGGUCUGGCUUUUACACGUGGUGUUGAGAGUCGGGUCCUUCGCAAUGAGAGCUUGUGAAUCCGGUCAGGUCCGGAAGGAAGCAGCCGUAAGCAAGAUGCCUCAUGUGCCGAAGGGUUACCUAACUUGAGCUAACGAUAAGAGUACGCUUGGACUGCUGCAUCAAUAGCAGGUGCACGG